This 796-nucleotide ribosomal RNA is filed under the name uncultured archaeon. RNAcentral describes it as "bacterial SSU rRNA". It matches the Rfam family "Archaeal small subunit ribosomal RNA", at positions 85 to 879 of the family's 1478-position model. The record is from RNAcentral.
ACUGCUCAGUAACACGUGGAUAACCUGCCCUUGGGUCUGGGAUAACCCCGGGAAACUGGGGAUAAUACCGGAUAACGCAUAUGUGCUGGAAUGCUUUAUGCGUAAAACGGAUUCGUCCGCCCAAGGAUGGGUCUGCGGCCUAUCAGGUAGUAGUGGGUGUAAUGUACCUACUAGCCAACAACGGGUACGGGUUGUGAGAGCAAGAGCCCGGAGAUGGAUUCUGAGACAUGAAUCCAGGCCCUACGGGGCGCAGCAGGCGCGAAAACUUUACAAUGCGGGAAACCGUGAUAAGGGAACACCGAGUGCCAGCAUCAUAUGCUGGCUGUCCAGAUGUGUAAACUACAUCUGUUAGCAAGGGCCGGGCAAGACCGGUGCCAGCCGCCGCGGUAACACCGGCGGCCCGAGUGGUGACCGUUAUUAUUGGGUCUAAAGGGUCCGUAGCCGGUUUGGUCAGUCCUCCGGGAAAUCUGAUAGCUUAACUGUUAGGCUUUCGGGGGAUACUGCCAGGCUUGGAACCGGGAGAGGUAAGAGGUACUACAGGGGUAGGAGUGAAAUCUUGUAAUCCCUGUGAGACCACCUGUGGCGAAGGCGUCUUACCAGAACGGGUUCGACGGUGAGGGACGAAAGCUGGGGGCACGAACCGGAUUAGAUACCCGGGUAGUCCCAGCCGUAAACUAUGCUCGCUAGGUGUCAGGCAUGGCGCGACCGUGUCUGGUGCCGCAGGGAAGCCGUGAAGCGAGCCACCUGGGAAGUACGGCCGCAAGGCUGAAACUUAAAGGAAUUGGCGGGGGAGCAC